GAACUCCUUGCGGUCAGAAACUUCGUGUAUCUCUUUUUCCAGAACCUACCACAGUGCCUGACAGGAAUUUAUUUUUUGGCAUGUGUUGCUAUGCUAGCUUUUCCCUCUUCUAUUUUAAGCAGGCUGACUCUUUGAGCUGACAGGACUUUCCCCUUUCUCUGAGAUGACAAUCAGGCCGCUUUGCUUCGCACUGCCCUCAGAGAAGCAGUGUGCCCAGAAGUCAAGUGUGAGCUCUUGAGUCAAAAUGCUUGGAUUUGAAUUCCAACUCUGCUGCUUACCAGCUGUGUGACAUGGGGUGAGUGAGUUACCUGACCUCUCUGUACCUCUAUGUCAUCAUCUUUAAAAUGGAGAGCCUGAAGAAGCCGGUUGCCAAGGUGACAGGAGCAGGAACAGCAGGGAGCUUGCCAUGGGGGAGGGGCUUUGCCCCCAAACAGCUGUCAGUGGGAGCAGUCCCAGCUGGGACUGGAGGGUCUGCCUGCUCUGGGAGGAAACAGCCCCCAGGAGAACACAUUCCUCACUGCCAUACCCCCUCCUACUGGCCCACUGCAAGUCUCCACUGGUUACUUUCCCUGGGGGCAGCCAGCCAGCCAGCUCAAAAAAUGCUCCAAUAACAAACAAAAAAUGUGUGUGCGCUCGCUUGCUUUCUCUCUCCCAGACACACACACACAUACACACACACACGCACACACACUCAAGCACGCUCUUCUCUCCUGCUCUCAGAUCCCUUGGUUCAUUGACAGUGGGUUGGCUGGGCAGGAGGCCAGAAGUCACCUCUGCCCAGGGAACUGUGUAGCCCAAGACAGGUGCUGCUCCUGGCUGCCCUGCACUAGGUCCUAAGAAUGAUUUCAGUCUUUUUUGUCCAGAGGCCCUGAGAGGACCUUCCCCUACUAAAACUUCCCAGCUGCCUUCCAUCUGGGAGGUGGGAGUGGGGCAGUGCAAUCUCUGGGCUUACAGAGAGGAAGGGGUGGGAGAGAGGAAGAAUGAACAGGAUGGUGGGAGGCAGGAACAAUGCAGGCCCACUGCUUUGUGUCUCUGGGGAGAGGUUCUUUGUGGGACUGCAGCUCACAGCUGCUCCAUAGAAAGUUCUGUGGAGCCACUGGUCUCUGUACUGCAUUCUAGCCAGGCACUGUUAGCCUUAGGCCCUCGGGCCUCAAGCCUGUUACCUGCUGGUGUUUACCUUUACACGGGGUCUCCACCAGACUCUGCAAACCCUGAAUAGGCUUAGAUCCCUGAGAUGCUUUCAGCUUUGGGUCAGAAACAGGAAAGGCUGAGGAGGCCCCAGAUUACUAUAAGAACUGAGAGGGACAACCUGGUUUGAGAUGAAGAACAGUGUUUGACUCAGCCAGCUAUGGCCCCCAGUCCUGCCACUUACUACUUAGGUGACUUUGAGUGCGUGACGGAUGUGGUAAGCUCCUGGAGAACCUCUCUGAGCUUCAGUUUGCUCAUCUGUAAAAUGGAUAAAGACACCUACCAGACAGGGAUCUUUCCAGGGUUUAAAAAAGCGUGAUGCGUACAAUGCAGGGCACGCUAUCUAGCACACGACGGACGUCCUGUGAGUGCUGGUCCCGUUUCUGUCCAGUUUUCUUGAGAACUGAGUUGCCUAGCAGCCUUAGGAGGAACCCAAGAACUAGUCUUUCUUUUGAACAGUGUUAGAACUUGGGGGGCUGGCUUAGAUUUAGACAGAGGUUACAUUUCGGCCUGGGCUGGAAGGGGGUUCUCAGGAAGGCCUGAGACGCAGAUGGUCCUCCAGGGCAUGCAGAUUGAAUGAGAAACUAGAAGUGCUCAUCUGGGGUCUCAGCUGUAGUCCAAGCUGCUUUCAACGCAUUGAAAGAGCCCCCAGUCUACCCUUCUGAGCCUCACUUUCUUUUUCCAUAAAAGGAAGAGGCUGGGCCACUUUUUGGAGAAAGCCAUGCCAGACAGUGAGAAACAUCUGAAGCCACAGGGCUGUGAGGCCUCCGUGGGGAGGCGCCUUUCUUGGCUCAGCGGUGACCGCUGGAAUGCAGCGACUGAUCCUUUGCCCCUGGGUGACUUCUGAAGCCUCAAGAAGGUGAAUGAGGGAUUUUGACCCCGUUUCCUCCUAACUCAGUGCCAUGUGCGCUGCUUUGCUUUUCUCUGCCUGGGAACCUUCCCCACUCUGUCUGGCAGGUCACAUGCUCGUGCCGCAAGGCUCAUGUGCCAUGUCCUCUGAAGGACGGCAUCUCUGACCCAUUCUGCCUGACAGGCAGCUGACCAUCUGUGCCCACACUGUACCUGGUACUUAGUCCUAAAAUAGAAUUUAUGAAGUGGAAUGGAUUUGCUUCUAUAUCUGGUUCCCUUCUUUUGACUGCACACUCCUUUAGGGAAAAAUAAAAAUCCUAUCCUAUUUUGACAAAGAUGUAUUGAGAUAUAUUCUUGAUGUAUUUUCUCAAGAAAAAACCCCACAGAUUAGAUUGGAUGGUAAAAUGGUUUGAGAGAGGACUGAGGUUAGUGGUUGUCUCAGGGAUGCGAUCAGCGUGACUCUCUCUUUAAUGCAAAGCCAUGUGCUUCGUCACUCUAUUUCUAUGGUAAAACAGCGUGGUCUUGUUCCCUAGAUCGAUAGGCCUGGCUUCUUGGGCUCUUGGCAGAUUUUCCCAUUAAAGAUUGCCUACAAUGGGCAGCACAGGAAGAGUUUUAGUAGGCAGGGAAAGGGGUCUAGCAGGGCAUGUGGAUUCAUCGGACCUGCCUCACAAGCAAGCUCCUAGAUUUAUUCUCAAGUGUUACCCUCACUAGCAAGCCUUUCCUAGCUCCUCUCCUCAAGCCAGAUAGCUCUUCUGUUCUGACAGUGUUCACAGCUUAGAUCUAUUAUGGCAUAUGCACAGCACUCAUCUGUCUCCCCAGCUACACUGUGGAGGGCAGGACCUGAGUCUCAUUUAUCUCUGCACACCUAGAAUUGGCAACAUGAUUGGCAAAUACUAAUCAACAAAUGCUUGCUGAAUGAUGAGAAAAAAUAAACUUCCUACAUUCCCAUCUCUCUGUCUGGUUCUU
Long non-coding RNA from Gorilla gorilla gorilla (western lowland gorilla), 3003 nucleotides. RefSeq lists it as uncharacterized. The transcript has 3 exons. The record is from RefSeq and is a predicted model, not a curated record. NCBI's taxonomy places the organism in Eukaryota, Metazoa, Chordata, Mammalia, Primates, Hominidae.